Molecule: long non-coding RNA, 37539 nt
Filed under: Lactuca sativa (garden lettuce)
Lineage: Eukaryota; Viridiplantae; Streptophyta; Magnoliopsida; Asterales; Asteraceae
Description: long non-coding RNA (LSAT_LNC004249)
Source: RNAcentral
UACUUCGUUCCAAUACAAGUCUUAGAGUCAUACUCCAAGAUUGUCAUUUGAGUGACAUGUCUUAAAGAAGGUUUAAAACACUUGUCAAAUGUAAGAGUAAAAGUUUUCUACUCUUGUACAUUUGAAAUUGGUAAGUUGUGAUGUUUUGGAUAAAACAAAGACCAACUUAGGCCAAUUGGGUAAAGUGUUUUUCUUGAUUAGAAUCCGCACUAUCUCUUGGAUGUUUGACAAGGGAGUCUUAUAUGUCAAGAGGACAGUGGGAGUCUUAAAGGUCUUGAAAGUCUCAAGAACUAAUCAAGAAUAAAACCUGAAGUUCUUCACUAGCACACGACUUGAGGUUCAUAACCUAUCGUGUUGACAUAUUCUGUGCCCAUUCCAGUUAAAGUUGGCUUUGCAUAUGAGUUCUUAGAGUUCUCAAUUUGUUGCACAACAACUUGGAAGCAAUGGUAGGCCCUUGAGCUGCCAGGUGGCAAGAAAUUAAGAUUGAGUUCAGUCCAUAUGAGUUUGGAUUUGUCAUUAUCCUUGUCUUGUGACUAUGGUUUUGACAAUUCACAUGGAUAAGAACACAUACACCAUUAAAUCUAAGUGUCAUAAGGUUUCUCUCCGAUUCAUGAAAAUGAUGGUGAGGAAACACUUUCACUAAGUAGAUUUUAGCUAGAUAGCAAUUGUGAUAUUUGCAUUCUCAAAGUCGUUAGUGGAGCGCGUGUGGUUAACCGGCACACUAACUUGGACUUGUGAGAAGUGGCAAAAAGGUCUAAACAUUAUGAUUACGGCAUCCCUCUUCAUAAUUGUUUAGAUACACAAGUGUGCUAUCUAAGGGAAGGUGUAUGAUUUUGAUAAAGUUUUAUCAAAACAAUCUAGCAUCAGAAAUCUGAACUUUGGUAAGAAAGUCAAUGAAGUAUUGAUUUCUAGAAGUCCAGCUGAUUUCUGAGUACAUGUCAAAGCUAGUGGGAGCAUAAGUGUUAUGCUAAUAAUCAUCAUGUUAGUGGGAGCAUGAUAAUUAUGAUAAGUAUUGCAAGUUAGCAAUGUUAAUUAUAGAAAACAAAAGUUUCAAUUGGGAAAAAGUUGUUUUGCUAUAAUUAAGGGAGAGGAAAUUAUGCUUCAUCUCAAAUCUAUAAGCUUAGAUCGUGAGGUUUUAAUCAUUUAGUCAAGAAUAUAUAUGAAUUUCAUGUUGGAAUGGCUCAACAUAAGGAAAUUCUGUAUAUGGGUCCAUUAUUUGCGUUCUAAAAUUCGAUUAUGAUUACGGCAUCCCUUUUCAUAAUCUGAAUUAUGAGAACUUGGCAAAUAGAAAUGGAAAUAUUAUAGCAAAAGACUGGUUUAGUCUUUAUGUGAGACAUCAUGAAUCGUGUCCCAUAUGCUUCGGAUAUAGGAUCGAUUACAUGUGCUAUAUUCAUCCGUUCUAAAAUUUUCCAAAUGCCUGGGGCAUUAAGAAGGGAAAAGGUUUAGAACUGGAUAUGACUAAAAGGAUUAAACAAUUGUCGAGGACAAUCUAAGGUUUACCAAAGAUUGGUUGCUCAAGGACAGUUGGAAGUAUAGUGAUAAUUCUGGAAGGACCAUAUUGACAUAAUCUGUAAGGAGGCAACUCUUGUUCAGAAGUGAUAGUCAAAAUGGAAUCUGGAAAUGUUUCAAAGUUAGAAUUUUCAAUCUGUUUAAGAUUAGGAAACUUAAUGCAAGAAGGAUGUUUCCAAGGAGCUGAUCUCCUUUGGAAUACUCUGUAAUGAUUAUUGUCAAGUCUUUCCGACUUUGUGCAUAAUCAUUACAAGAGGAUCAAUGCAUAUAAGUUUAGAAUCUAACAGAUUUCAGUAAAUGACAUGAAUUUGGAAUUCUUGCAUUUACAAUAAGAAUUUGGGAAUGUGAAAGAGGAUCGUUAGAGUUAUGUUCAAUUGAUCUAUUUCACAAAGUGUACAUUCUUGGAGCAUGGGACAACUAUUGUUUUAAUUCAAGAAUAAAGUUGAUAGAUGAAACAUUAUACAAUGAAUAAUGUGUAAUCAUAUGGUGAUAAAUAAAGGGUGUUUUAUUUAUGUUCAUAGGUUUUGAUACCAUAUUGGAUUCAAUUAUUAUUGUGUUUCACUUUGCAUGUUUUGACUUCCAGAAUAAACUAGGUUAUUCUUCCGGAAUGACUAAGUUAUUCAAACCAUCCACAGUCGGUCAUAUGUUGGAAGUAGAUAUGAAUCAAGACUGUCAUGGGUUGGCUUGUAGAGGUCUAAGAUGUUGGACAAAGGGCUACAACACUCAUGAGUGCUCAUAAGUUCUGAGUAUUGGAUUAAACCCGCGCUCAUUGGAAUCACUUCAUGGAUUUUAUCACGAGUGAUCAUGAGACGAUAAUAUCUUAUAUUCUUCAAACCUAGAGAUAUGAGUUGUUACUAUGAGUUGAUAGUACAUUGAUUGCACGAAAACGCAUUUGGUAACUCGGUGCUAUAAAACGUGCCUUUGUGUAUGAUUCAACAAGUAGUAGAACAAGCUAUAUGAGUCGAAGUUUUUCUAUUCCUUUUACCUUUGGGAUAAAAGCUAUAUCUGUGGGCCCCUCGAUGAUUUGAUGAUGACAAAUGGAAGUGCUCGGCCGGGCCAGGACUGAUUUGAUUUGUUCAAUUAGUCAGUUGUCAUAAAUCGGAAAUCGGGAAACAACAAAUGGACAGAGAGAAUGAUUAUAAUCCAUGUCUCAGUCCAUAUGAUAUCUAGAAUGGAGGAAUAUAUGAUCCCUUAUCUAAUGGACAAGUCAUUGACAAAGGUCAGAGUUCAUCUACAAGGUCAGAGUUCGACAGAAGCUUUUGAGAGCUACGAUUGCCAGUCGGUUCCUGAAGUCAUACGCAAUAAUAGUUUUAGACUUAUCCAAGUGGGAGACUGUUGGAUUAAUGUCUAAGUCCAUAACUAUAAUUGGUAAGACUUGACCCGACCCGACAUGGUCCAUUUGGGUUGCAUGGCAUCAUGCACUUGGAUAGACUAAAGUGAGAGAAAUAAGACACUUAUGGUUAUUAAUAUAUUAUAAGUUCUAGUAUAUUAAUAAUAAGAAUAAUAAUAUUUAAUUAGUAUUGAUCAAGAAUUAAUCUAGGAUUAAUUAAGUGAUCAAAAGAAGACUAAUUAAAUAUAUGGGUUGAUUGUGCAAAUCAUCCAUACUUAUAUAGUGGGCUAAUGCUCCAUGGAUUAUCUAGUUGGGCUAAAACCCAUAUCAUGCUUCAUGGAUGCUCCAUGGUGUUUUUGUACCCAUGGAUCAUGGAAAUGAAAGGCCAUGUCAAUUAGGGUUUACAUGGUGUAACCUUAACUAUAUAUGCAUCUUAUUCUUGAUCAAAAUCGGGACUAGUAUCAUGCUAGAGAAGGGAUAGCCGAUUUCAAGGGGUUCUAAGUUUCUCUCAAGUUAUUCCAAGUGUAUUUGGUGUUGUGUGAACCAUUUGAAGUGUCACACUCGAGGCACUAGGCACUCAAGCUUCAUGAAGACAUUCUACAUCAAAGUGGUAUGUAUUCCAUCUUGUUAUAUUCAUUAUUUUGUAUGCUAGAUUAGGAUAAUACCUUGGAAGUUCAUAUUUGCAUGUAUAAUAGAGAAAACAUAGAUCCAAGGUAUUUAGGGUUGCAUGUACACUUAGGUGUGUUAGAAUGCUGAAAACCCAACAAUAAGAAGCUCACCACCGCACUCAACGAGUUAAAUAACUUUAAAGCUCAUGCGGAUGAAAGCCUUGAGGACUCUUUCAAGAGAUUUAACCUUAUUGUUACCAAGUUGUCAAACGCUGGCACUAUUCGCAGCAACCAUGAAACCAAUCUUUAAUUUGUCAACGGUUUAGGAAAACAUUGGACUACAGCAAAGAUGAUAGUCUAGGAUGACAGGAAGAUUCACUCUCUCUCACUCUCUCUUUUCAAGCUGUAUGGAGAACUCCAAGCACAAGAAUCAACCAUGCUCAAAGAUUGUGCUGACUUCGGAGGGCCACUUGCUCUCAUGGCCCAGACCCCGCAAAACAUAAUUCCUCAAUCCUACCCUCUCUCCUAUGAAAACCCACCUCAGUCUUACGAAGCUGAUACCGAGUAUGAUGAUGACAAAGUAUUCCAGAAUGUUAUUGCUCUUGUAAGCCAACAGUUCAAUCGAUUACCUCUAACCUCCUUUCACAAAAAUUAGCAGCUCACUAAACCUCCCUUUAACCGAAACUUUAACCCUCAAAACAAUCACCCUCGAUACCCGAAACACCCUCAUCAAUCUCUGCAACCUAUUAACUCACAUCAAGCCAAGGAGGUACCGCAACCUGCUAAGCCAAUAGGCUCCAGUCCCUCAACUGAAGUUAAAGAAGAUGUUGUCAUUUGUCAUAAGUGCAAAAAAGAGAAUCAUUUUGCUAUGACUGUAAAGAAAAUGUUGUAAAGGAUGAAGCCUUCUAUCUCCGAAUGGAACAAGAGAUGGAUGAUAAAGAAAAGUGUAGGGCAUAUGUGGCCCGGGUGAAAUGAGAUCAUCAAGUAUGGUCUUCAAGUGAUGAGGAUGAAGACUUCAACAUCAAGGGAAAGGGAAAGAUUUGCAUGCUUUCUACUAUGGAUGAAGAUGGAUCGACCAAGCUCGAAAAGAACUAAUGCUAUAUGGCCAAGGAAUGAACUCUGAGCAUAGUCGAACAGGUAAAACUCAUGAUUCAAACUCUUCAUUAUAACAUGCAUGAUUGCCAACCAUUCCUUGACAACCUUAAUGGAACAUGUGUUGCCGUCCUUUCAGACUAUAACAAAGCUCUAAAUGAGAAGAACAUAGCAUCCCAAGAAAUGUUCCAUGUUAGAGGACGUAUAGAAGACAAAAGACUCAAAGUGUCCAUGUUAGAAAAAUACUUAGGGUUAGAGAAGGAUGUAAAAAUGUUAUGUGAAACCCAGUUAGGCAUAGCAUUAGAUCAGAGGGAUUUAGCACAAAAAGAAAUUGUACGUUUGAACUUGUUAAUUGAAUUUUUUUUAAUGAAAGCGAGGCCAUUGAAAAUCUUGUAAAUAAUGAAAUCGUUGAAAUUAUGUACAAUUGCGGAUGGUCCAAUGGGUAUUCCACCGCAAAGGACUCAUCACCCCGGUUUAAUAAGGACCGUCUUUAUGUCCCUCCUGACCGACAGUUUCACUUUCCUAUAAAUGACAAAAAACUUCCCGAAGAUAUUAGUGAUGGUUUUGAGCAUUCUAACACUUCUUAAGUGUACAUGCAACCCUAAUAAUCUUGGAUCUACGUUUGUCUAAAUACAUGCAAAAUUUGGUUUCCAAGGUUCAUAAUCCUAUCUAGCAUACAUGGGAACUUUUAUCCCAAAAGGAUGGAUAGAAUUACAUACCUUGUAGUUGAUUUUGAUUCCUUGAAACCUUGUGAGCCUAGCACCCCAAGUGUGAUGCCUAAAAUGCUUCACACAACACCAAAUGCUUUUGGAAUGACUUUAGAGAGAAUGCACACACUCUAAAAAUCGGUCUAGCCCUCACUUCUCUUUGUGUAACCGAUUUUGUGGAGAACACCUUUGUUUAUAUAGUGUGUUGCAUUAGGUAAACCCUAAUGUAACAUGACUCUUCAUUUCAUGAUCCAUGGGUUAACUCCAUGGAGCAUCCUAUGGGUGGAACCCAACUUGAUAAUCCAUGGAGCCUCUUAGCCCACUAUAUAAGAUAUGGAAGAUUUACAUAAUCUACCCAUAUAUUUAAUUAGUUAUCUUUUGAUCACUUAAUUAAUUCUAAAUUAAUUCUUGAUCAAACUAAUUAAAUAAUAUUAUUAAUAUAUUAGAACUUAUAAUAUAUUAAUAAACCAUAAGUGUUAUUUCUCUCAUUUUAGUUUAUCCAAUUGCAUGGUGCCAUGCAACCCAAAUGGACAAUGCCGGGUCGGGUCAAGUACAUACCAGAAAUAGUUAUGGACUUAGACACCUUAUCCAACAGUCUCCAACUUGGAUAAGUCUAAUAACUAUAACUCCAAUACUUCAAGAACCGAUCGGAAAUCGUAGCUCUUUCAAGGUCUCUCGGAAUUGAGAAGAUGAUGAAACACCAUUUAAGAUAAGUGAUCAUAUAAUCGUCUAUUCUAGAUAUCAGCCAGGCAAAUACAUCGAAUAAUAUCUUACUUAUUGUCCAGCAGUUUGUUUCCCGAUUUCCAAUUUGUUUGACAAAGAACUUAAUUGAACACAUCAACUUAGUUCUGACUGGGCCCGGUACGUGGGUCAAAACUAAAUCAUCGAGGGGCCCAAAUAUCAGCUUCUAAUCCAAGAAGGAACAGAUAAACUUCGACUCAUAUGUUUGUUCUACUACUCAUUGAAUUAUACACAAGAGCACGUUUUAUAACAUCGAGUUACCAAUGCAUUUUCGUACAAUCAAUGCAUAACCAACUCAUAAGUAACAAAUCAUAUCUCUAGGUUUGAAGACUUAUAUGAUAUUACCGUCUCACGAUCACUCGAGAUAGAAUUCCAUGAAGUGAUUCCAGUGAGCGUGGGUUGAGUCCAAUGCUCAGAACUUAUGAGCACUCAUGAUUGUUGUAGCCUUGUCCAACACCUUAGACCUCUACAACCAAACAUGACAGUCUUGAUUCAUACCUACUUCCGACAUAUGACCGACUGUGGAGGUUUGAAUAAUAUGUUAUACCAAACAAAAUUAUUCUGGAAGUCAAAACAUGCAAAAGAAAUAUAGUAAACGAUCGACAAGAGAUAGCAACACUUUACUCAUAAAUAAAACACCUUUUAUUCAUCAUCUAAUGUCAAUUACACUUUACAAAUUUCGAGGUUAUCUAACUACUAAAUCUAAUAUCAUCCUUCAGCCCUAUGCUCCGAGCAUGCUGGAGAUGCUUAACCCGAGUCAGUCCCUUCGUGAGGGGAUCUGCUAGAUUCUCAUCCGAUGAUACCCUAUUUGCCACGAGGAGUCCUUCUUCUACUCGAUGUCUGAUGAAAUGGUAUUUUCUGUCGAUGUGUUUGGAUCUCCCGUGAUCCCUUGGUUCCUUGGCUAAGGCAACUGCACUUUCACUAUCACAGAAAAUUUCCAUUGGCUCCUUAAUAGCUGGUACAACUCCAAGGUCUCCAAUGAAGUUCUUCAGCCAUAUCGCCUCCUUUGUUGCCUCGCUAGCUGCUAUAUACUCUGAUUCGCAAUUUGAAUUAGCCACUGUUUCUUGCUUGGAACUCUUCCAAGAAAUUGCUCCCCCGUUUAAGGUAAAGACCCAGCCUGACUGAGAGCGGAAAUUAUCCCUAUCAGUCUGAAAGCUAGAAUCACUAUACCUUACAACUCUCAAGUCAUCACUCCCACCGAGGGUAAGAACCUAAUCCUUAGUCCUCCGUAGGUACUUGAGGAUAUUCUUUACCACAGUCCAGUGUGCCUUGCCAUGGUUCUCCUAAUACCUGCUAACCAUGCUCAAAUCAAAGGCUACAUCAGGUUUAGUACACGUCAUAGCAUACAUGAUUGAUCCUACAGCCGAAGCAUAAGCUAUUCGACUCAUUUCGGAUAUCUUAGCCUCAGUAUUAGGGCUUUGUGUCUUACUCAAUCUGGUGUUACUCUGGAUGGGUAACUCUCCUUUCAUGGAGUCCUGCAUGCUGAAUCUCUUCAUCACCUUAUCCAAGUAGGUACUCUGACUAAGUCCAAUUAGUCUUUUACUCCGGUGUCUCAAGAUCCUUAUCCCUAGAAUAUAAGCAACUUCUCCUAGGUCCUUUAUAGAGAAACACUUCCCAAGACAGGACUUAACUUCCUGCAGAGUUGGGAUGUCAUUUCCUAUGAGUAGUAUGUCAUCCACAUACAAUACCAAAAAGCUAGCUAUACUCCCACUAGCCUUGACAUAUACACACGAUUCAUCUUCACUCCUAGAAAAGCCAAAUUAUUUGACCUUCUCAUCAAAGCAAAGAUUCCAUCUGUGAGGUGCUUCAUUUAAUCCAUAAAUGGAUUUCUCAAGCUUACACACUCUAUUAGGAUACUCUGUAUUGACAAAACCCUCUGGCUGACUCAUGUAAACAUCCUCAACGAAUUUUCCAUUAAGGAAAGUGGUUUUGACAUCUAUUUGCCAUUUUCAUAGUCAUGAAAUGUAGCUAUGGCUAACAGAACCCUAAUAGACUUAAUCUUGGCCACUGGAGAAAAGGUCUCAUCAUAAUCAACUCCCGGAGUUUGUGAGAAACCCUUUGCAACCAGUCGUGCCUUUAUAAGUGUAUACAUUACCAUCCAUGUCGGUCUUCUUCUUGAAGAUCCAUUUGCACCCUACAGUCUUACGACCGGGUACAUUCUUUACCAAGUUGCAAACUUGAUUGUCAUACAUGGACUAUAUCUUGCUGUCCAUUUCCUCUUUUCACUUGGCUGACUCAGGGCCUGCCAUGGCCUCCGCAUAACGGUUAGGUUCAUCUAGACCUAUCAGUGUCUCAUCGCUGAUAAGUGUAUCACCUUCCGCAGUAAUAUGAAAACCAUAAUAAUGCUCAGGAGCAUUCCUAAAUCUCGUGGAACACCUCAGAGGUAUAGACUUGUCAAUUGGCUCAACAAGAGUUUCCUCCUCAAGUUGAGUGCUAGGGUUUGAAGUUCCUUCACCACUUGACUCUUGAAUUUAUUCAAGGUCAACUUGCCUCCCACUGUUUCCUUGUCUUAUGAACUCUCUUUCUCAAAAGACAGCCCUCCUAGCUACAAAGACCACAUUUUCACUAGGCCUAUAAAAGAGGUAACCAAAGGAUUGCUAUGGGUAGUCGAUGAAAAUACACCUCUCACUUCGACGUUCGAGCUUAUCAUGAGUCUCACGUAUCACUAAAUCCUCGCAACCCCAAAUAUUGAUGUGGUCUUGUUUGGGUACUUUACCAGUCCACAUCUCAGGAGGAGUUUUGGCAACUUUCUUUGUAGGGACCAAAUUAAGGAUAUGGGCGGCAGUCUCUAAGGCAUAUCCCCAAAAUGAGAUUGCUAGCGAAUCUCGACUCAUCAUGGAACGAACCAUAUCCAACAAGCUUCGAUUACGCAUCUCAGCCACACCAUUCAAUUGCGGUGUCCUGGGAGGUAUCAAUAAUGAAACAAUCCCACAUUCCUUAAGCUAGUCGAGGAACUCUAAACUAAGAUACUCACCACCUCGAUCGGAUCGAAGCAUCUUAAUGUUCCUGCCUAAUUGAUUCUCGACUUCCUGUUUAAAUUCUUUAAACCUUUCAAAAGUCUCUGACUUAAGUUUUAUUAAGUAGACAUAUCCUUAUCCACUGUAAUCAUCAGUAAAAUUCAAAUAAUAAUGAUUAGCAUCCAUUGUGGCAUGUUUGAAGGGUCCACAGACAUCCGUGUGUACAAGAUCCAACAAACCUUCACCCCUCUCACAAGAACUUGUGAAGGGUGACUUUGUCAUUUUUCCAAGUAAGCAUGAUUCGCAACUAUCAUCUGACUUUAGGUCAAAUGACUCCAAGACUCCAUCCUUUUGGAGUUGGCCUAUGCGUUCCUUGCUUAUAUGUCCAAGACGACAAUGCCAUAAUGAUGCUUUAUCCAAGUUAUUAUCAUUAACAGAAUCAAUACACAAUACAUUAUUUCCUAAGUUAUCAACCAUAUAUACAGUUUCAUACACACCAUCACAAGAUAAUGCUUUAAAAUAAAGAACAUUAUUAAACAAAGCAUUAAUGGAACCAACUUCAUUAUCAAACGAAAAGGUAAAACCUUGUUUAUACAAUGCAUGAAAGGAAAUAAUAUUUCUUGCCAUUUUUGGCGAAUAACAACAUUUAUUCAAAUCUAAACUAAACCCACUACUUAGCGAUAAAGUAUAAACUCCAAUCUUGGUGAUAGGUAAAGCUUUCCUAUUCCCCAUGAUUAAGUUUAUUCUUCCAUUCUCCACAUUCUCAUUUCUUUUUAGUCCCUGCAAAUCAGAAUAGAUAUGAAUGCCACAACCGGUAUCAAGGACCCAAGAGUUAGAAUGGGGUGAGUUAUUAGAUAAGAUAGUGUAAAUACCUGCAUGGUUGGGUUUAACUUUCCCAUCCUUCACAUCUUGCUGGUACUUUGGGCAGUUCUGCUUCUAAUUUGACUUUUCAUGGCAACAGAAGCAUUCAACCUCUUUUGGGUCAGAAGAAGGAGUGACGAAACCUUUCUUGGUUCCUCUUGAAUAAGAGCCAUCAAGGGUCCUAGCCUUGGUACCCUUCGAAGAACUCUUCCUCUUCUUCCCUCGACCUUUCCCGAUUGCCAAAACCGGGGCGGAGUUUGGAGUAGGAGUGUUAACAACCGACUUACCCUUAAGACCUGUUUCUGCGGUCUUGAGGAGUCCCUGAAGUUUGCUGAGUGUGACCUCUUCCUUAUUCAUGUGAUAUGUCAUGCGGAAUUGAUCAUAGCACGAUGGUAAGGAGUGCAAAAUGAUAUCUAUUGCAAGCUCCUCAGGGAAGUUCACAUUAAGCUUCAGCAAACGAUCCACAUACCUUUGCAUUUUCUGCAUGUGGCUCGUGACGGAUUCCCCGUCCUUCAUCAUGGUUGUUAUCAUGGAGCAGAUGAUUUCAUACCUCUCUUGUCGUGCACUUUGAUGGUAUCUUUCCAUCAGAUCUUGGUGCAUUUCAAAAGGGUAGAAGUCCUCAUAGGACUUUUGGAGUUCCGCUGUCAUGGUGGCCAACAUGAUGCAUGCCACUUUUGUAGCAUCCCUUUCAUGUGCCCGGAAGUCAGCGAUCUCCUGGGGAGUUGCAGUGGUCUCAUCAAUCUCCUUAAGCUCCUUGUCAAGGACAUAUUCUUUGUCCUCGUAGCGGGUAAUCAUCCUGAUGUUUCUGAUCCAUUCAUUGAAGUUGGAUCCAUCAAAAGUGACUUUCCCACACAAGUUCAUAAGGGUAAAGGAGCCAUUAGGAUUAGAGCCAGAAGCAGCAUUGUUUGAAGACAUCUGAAAGAAGAGGACAAGAUUAGUUUAGAUAUUAAGAGAGUCCUUAAUAAAACACCCAAAUGUAAUAUUAAGGCUAGGAUCCAAUCACAAUAUAUUAUAACUUAGAAGAGGUAUGCCGUAAUCCAAGCUAUAACAUAUUUGAAAGGUAGGUGAAUGACGAUUCACCAAUUUCCACCACGAAAACCGAAAUAUUAAAUAUUAGGUUUUUGAUUGGUUCUUAGAAAUUCCUAGAUUCUUUGAGAUUCAAUGAACUUUUCAAAGGCAUGUUUCAAUCUCGAGUGUGCCCUCCAAGUUUUGUGACUGGGAUACCGAGGAUCACAAAACGAGGUGUGAAGUAACCAUGCAAAUCACUUGGUACCCUUAAAGUUUAUCACUCAAUCGAUGUGCCGGUUAACCACACACGCUCCAUCGAUACUAUAAUAAACCCUAAGUCACCCUUUACCUACCUUGUUAAGUCCAAGUUAGUGUGCCGGUUAACCACACACGCUCCACCAACGACUUAAUCAAAGUGUAAAGUGUAAUUUCAUGGAAUAGCACCUUAUUCACAUUUUUCCUAAAGUAACUAAGAUUGGGAAUUUAAUAAAACAUUUAGUUACUUUAUAAUAUUCAUCAUACUUUGAAUGAGAAUUAAUAAGUCCUUGUCUUACCCGUUCGGCUAACGACCCUCCACCGAUCAAGCAAGCGGUGGGUGAGAGUGGACACCCAUUAAGUCACCAUUUUAUAGGCAACAACCUUAUACCCACCUUAUAGACCGGCUUCGUGAAUGAGGCGUACUAGCGGUAAGACGACUUUGUUCUUAUACAUAUAUAUAUAAUUAUUAAAUCAUAAUAAUAUAAGUAUAAGGGUUGAAUUUUAACUUUUAAAAUUCUAGGGGUUGGAACUAAAGUUUUAACUUAACUUUACUUGUUCCAAAACUUGAGGGCAAGUUUUGUAAACUUUCAAAACUUUUCAUUUCUUGUAACUUAUGAGUUUAAUAGAGUAAUAAAAUGAGGACUUUUCAUUUUUCCUAACUCUUGUGUUCUUUUAAUGGUUUUUAAUCCAAGAGACUUUUGGUUUUCCAUAACUUGAGGACAAGUUAUGGACUCCAUUAAAACACAUUAUGAUCAUGAAUUAAUCUACCACAUAGGUUACAAAUAAUUCCUAUGAUCAUCUAAACAUCAUAAGAACAAGAAUAUGAAUAUGAACACUUUCAAGAAUCAAAAUCACAUUUAAUCUUUGUAAUUUUGAUAACUAGUUGUUGUAAAUGAGUUAGAAAAGACAUUACACCUUCUAAAAUAAGUUUUCAAGUACCAAAACAUUUUAGGGUAAUGAUUCUAAUCCAUUUCCAGCAACUCAAGUCGAAAUUCUGCACUCUGUCGACCCUACUCGCCGAGUGCAUAAACCUACUCGCCGAGUAGGUUGAAGAUACACAUGAACUCGACGAGUCCUCCCCAUGGACUCGCCGAGUCCAUCAGUCAGACAGCAGAAUUUUCGACUUUCUUCAACUUUUAAGCACAAAUAACAAACAAACAAGCCUAGGCUCUGAUACCACUGAUGGGUUUUGAGCAUUCUAACACUUCCUAAGUGUACAUGCAACCCUAAUAACCUUGGAUCUAUGUUUGUCUAAUUAUCAUGCAAAGUUGAAUUCCAAGGUUAUAUUCCUAUCUAGCAUACAUGGGGAACAAUUUUAACUUGAAUCAUAGAUAGAAUAACUUACCUUGUUGUUGCUUGUGUUCCUUGAAACCUUGUGAGCCUAGCACCCCAAGUGUGAUGCCUCAAAUGCUUCACACAACACCAAAUGCUCUUGGAAAGACUCUUGAGAUAACACACACUUCUCAAAAUCGGCCAAGCCCUCUAGUUUCUUAGUGUUCAACUUGUGUAGCCAAUUUUGUGGAGAAUGGGACUCUUAUAUAGUGUUGGCACAUCUAGGGUUACACCAUGUAAACCCUAAUGUGUCAUGACUCUUCAUUUCCAUGACCCAUGGGUUUGUAACUCCCAUGGAGCAUCCAUGGAGCAUCCUAUGGGUAGAACCCAACUUGAUAAUCCAUGGAGCCUCUUAGCCCACUAUACAAGAUAUGGAUGAUUUACAUAAUCAACCCAUAUAUUUAAUUAGUUAUCCUUUGAUCACUUAAUUAAUUCCAAAUUAAUUCUUUGAUCAACUAAUCAAAUAAUAUUAUUAAUAUAUUAGAACUUAUAAUAUAUUAAUAAUCUCCAAGUGUUAUUUCUCUCAUUUAGUCUAUCCAAUUGCAUGGUGCCAUGCAACCCAAAUGGACCAUGCCGGGUCGGGUCAAGUACAAGCCCGAAAUAGUUAUGGACUUAGACACCUUAUCCAACAGUCUCCCACUUGGAUAAGUCUAAUAACUAUAUCUCUAGUACUUCAGGAACCGACCGGCAAUCGUAGCUCUUUCAAGGUCUCUCGGAACUGAGAAGAUGAUGGUACGCCAUUUAAGAUAAGUGAUCAUAUAAUCCUCCGUUCUAGAUAUCAGCCGGACAAAUACAUGGAACAUUGUCUUGCUUAUUGUCCAGCAUUUGUUUCCCGAUUUCCGAUUUGUUUGACAUAGAACUUAAUUGAACACAUCAACUUAGUUCUGACCGGGCCCGGUACAUGGGUCAAAACAAAAUCAUCGAGGGGCCCAGAUAUCAGCUUCUAAUCCAAGAAGGAACAGAUAAACUUCGACUCAUAUGUUUGUUCUACCACUCAUUGAAUUACACACAAAAGUACGUUUUAUAACAUCGAGUUACCAAUGCGGUUUCGUACAGUCAAUGCAUAACCAACUUGUAAGUAACAAAUCAUAUCUCUAGGUUUGAAGACUUAUAUGAUAUUACCGUCUCACGAUCACUCGAGAUAGAAUUCCAUGAAGUGAUUCCAGUGAGCGUGGGUUGAGUCCAAUGCUCAGAACUUAUGAGCACUCAUGAUUGUUGUAGCCUUGUCCAAGACCUCUACAACCAAACAUGACAGUCUUGAUUCAUAUCUACUUCCAACAUAUGACCGACUGUGGAGGUUUGAAUAAUAUGUUAUACCAAACAAAAUUAUUCUGGAAGUCAAAACAUGCAAAAGAAAUAUAGUAAACGAUCGACAAGAGAUAGCAACACUUUACUCAUAAAUAAAACACCUUUUAUUCAUCAUCAAAUGUCAAUUACACUUUACAAAUUUCUGGGUUAUCUAACUACUAAAACUUAUAUCAUCCUUCAGCCCUAUGCUCCGAGCAUGCUGGAGAUGCUUAACCCUACUCAGUCCCUUCGUGAGGGGAUCUGCUGGGUUCUCAUCCGAUGAUACCCUCUUUGCCACGAGGAGUCCUUCUUCGAUCCGAUGUCUAAUGAAAUGGUAUUUUCUGUCGAUGUGUCUGGAUCUCCCAUGAUCCCUUGGUUCCUUGGCUAAGGCAACAGCACUUUCACUAUCACAGAAAAUUUCCAUUGGCUCUUUAAUAGCUGGUACAACUCCAAGGUCUCCAAUGAAGUUCUUCAGCCAUAUCGCCUCCUUUGCUGCUUCACUAGCUGCAAUAUACUCUGAUUCACAAGUAGAAUCUGCCACUGUCUCUUGCUUGGAACUCUUCCAAGAAAUUGCUCCUCCGUUUAGGGUAAAGACCCAGCCCGACUGAGAGCGGAAAUUAUCCCUAUCAGUCUGGAAGCUAGCAUCACUAUACCCUACAACUCUCAAGUCAUCACUCCCACCGAGGGUAAGGACCCAGUCCUUAGUCCUCCGUAGGUACUUGAGGAUAUUCUUUACCGCAGUCCAGUGUGCCUUGCCAGGGUUCGCCUGAUACCUGCUAACCAUGCUCAAGGCAAAAGCUACAUCGGGUCGAGUACACGUCAUAGCAUACAUGAUCGAUCCUACAGCCGAAGCGUAAGGUGUUCGACUCAUUUCUGCUAUCUCAGCCUCAGUGCUAGGGCUUUGUGUCUUACUCAAUCUGGUGUUACUCUGGAUGGGUAACUCUCCUUUCUUGGAAUCCUGCAUGCUGAAUCUCUUCAGCACCUUAUCCAAGUAGGUACUCUGACUAAGUCCAAUUAGUCUUUUACUCCGAUCUCUCAAGAUUCUUAUCCCUAGAAUAUAGGCAGCUUCACCAAGGUCCUUCAUAGCGAAACACUUCCCAAGCCAGGACUUUACUUCCUGCAGGGUUGGAAUGUCGUUUCCUAUGAGUAGUAUGUCAUCCACAUACAAUACCAAAAAGCUAACUAUACUCCCACUAGCCUUGACAUACACACAAGAUUCAUCUUCACUCCUAGAAAAGCCAAAUUCCUUGACCUUUUCAUCAAAGCAAAGAUUCCAUCUGCGAGGUGCUUGCUUCAAUCCAUAAAUGGAUUUCUCAAGCUUACACACUCUAUUAGGGUACUCGUUGCUGACAAAACCCUCUGGCUGACUCAUGUAAACAUCUUCAGCCAACUUUCCAUUAAGGAAAGCGGUUUUGACAUCCAUCUGCCAUAUUUCAUAGUCAUGAAAUGCAGCUAUGGCUAACAGAACCCGAAUAGACUUAAUCUUGGCUACCGGAGAAAAGGUCUCAUCAUAAUCCACUCCAGGAAUUUGAGAGAAGCCCUUUGCAACCAGUCUAGCCUUAUAAGUGUGUACUUUACCAUCCAUGUCGGUCUUCUUCUUGAAGACCCAUUUGCACCCUACUGUCUUACGACCUGGUACAUUUUCAACCAAGUUCCAAACUUGAUUGUCAUACAUGGAUUGUAUCUCGCUAUCCAUAGCCUCUUUCCAUUUAGCAGACUCGGGGCCUGCCAUGGCUUCCUCGUAGCUGUUAGGGUCAUCUUGACUUACUAGUGUCUCAUCACUAAUAAGUGUCUCACCUUCUGCAGUAAUAUGGAAUCCAUAGUAAUGCUCAGGUGCACUCCUAACUCUCGUGGAACGUCUCAGAGGUACAGAUUUGUCAAUUGGCUCAACAGGAGUUUCCUCCUCAAGUUGAGGGCUAGAGUUUGAAGUUCCUUCACCGCUUGAUUCUUGAAUUUCUUCAAGAUCAAUUUGCCUCCCACUGUCUCCUUGGCUUAUAAACUCUCUUUCUCGAAAGACUCCUCUUCUUGCUACAAAGACCACAUUGUCACUAGGUCUGUAGAAGAGGUAACCAAAGGAUCGCUGUGGGUAACCGAUGAAAAUACACCUCUCGCUUCGAGGUUCGAGCUUAUCAUGAGUCUCGCGUCUCACGAAAGCCUCGCAACCCCAAAUCUUGAUGUGGUCUAGUUUAGGUACUUUACCAGUCCACAUCUCGUGAGGAGUUUUGGCAACUUUCUUUGUAGGGACUAGAUUAAGAAUAUGGGCGGCAGUCUCUAAGGCAUACCCCCAGAAUGAGAUUGGUAGCGUAGCUCGACUCAUCAUGGAACGAACCAUAUCUAACAAGGUUCGAUUACGCCUCUCAGCCACACCAUUCAACUGUGGUGUCCUGGGAGGUGUCAAUUGUGAGACUAUCCCACAUUCCCUUAGAUAGUCGAGGAACUCUGAACUAAGAUACUCACCACCACGAUCGGAUCGAAGCAUCUUAAUGUUCCUGCCCAAUUGAUUCUCGACUUCCUGUUUAAAUUCCUUAAACCUCUCGAAAGUCUCUGACUUAUGCUUGAUCAAGUAGACAUAUCCAUAUCUACUAUAAUCAUCAGUAAAAGUCAAAUAAUAACGAUUAGCAUCCCUUGUGGCAUGUUUGAAUGGUCCACACACAUCCGUGUGUAUAAGGUCCAACAAACCUUCACCCCUCUCACACGAACCUGUGAAGGGUGACUUUGUCAUUUUUCCAAGUAAGCAUGAUUCGCAACUAUCAUCUGACUUUAGGUCAAACGACUCCAAGACUCCAUCCUUUUGGAGUUGGCCUAUGCGUUUCUUGCUUAUAUGUCCAAGACGACAAUGCCAUAAAGAUGCUUUAUCCAAGUUAUUAUUAGUAGAAUCAAUACACAAAACAUUAUUUCCCAAGUUAUCUACAACAGAUACAGCUUCAUACACACCAUCACAAGGUAAUGCUUUAAAAUAAAAGACAUUAUUAUAGAAAACAUCUAUAGAACCAACUUCAUUAUUAAAUGAAAAGGUAAACCCUUGUUUGUACAAAGCAUGAAAGGAAAUAAUAUUUCUUGCCAUUCCUGGCGAAUAACAACACUUAUUCAAAUCUAAACUAAACCCACUACUUAGCGAUAAAGUAUAAACUCCAAUCUUGGUAACAGGUAUAGCUUUCCUAUUCCCCAUGAUCAAGUUUAUCCUUCCUUGCUCCACAUCCUCACUUCUUCUUAGUCCCUGCAAGUCACAACAAAUGUGAAUACCACACCCGGUAUCAAGGACCCAAGAAUUAGAAUGGGGUGAGUUAUUAGAAAUGAUAGUGUAAAUACCUGCAUGGUUGGGUUUAACUUUCCCAUCCUUCACAUCUUGCUGGUAUUUUGGGCAGUUCCGCUUCCAAUGAGCUUUUUCAUGGCAAUAGAAGCAUUCAGCCUCUUUUGGGUCAGAAGAAGGAGUAACGAAACCUUUCUUGGUUCCACUUGAAGAAGAGCCAUCAAGGGUCCGAGCCUUGGUACCCUUAGAAGAGCUCUUUCUCUUCCUCCCUCGACUUUUCCCGAUUGCCAAAACCGGAGUAGAGUUUUGAGUAGGAGUGAUAGCAACCGACUUCCCCUUAAGACCUGUUUCUGCGGUCUUGAGAAGUCCCUGAAGUUUGCUGAGGGUGACUUCUUCCUUGUUCAUGUGAUAUGUCAUGCGGAAUUGAUCAUAGCACGAUGGUAAGGAAUGCAAAAUAAUAUCUAUUGCAAGAUCCUCCGGGAAGUUCACAUUAAGCUUCAGCAAACGAUCCACAUACCUUUGCAUUUUCUGCAUGUGGCUCGUGACGGAUUCCCCGUCCUUCAUCAUGGUUGUUAUCAUGGAGCAGAUGAUUUCAUACCUCUCUUGUCUUGCACUUUGAUGGUAUCUUUCCAUCAAAUCUUGGUGCAUGUCAUAAGGGUAGAAAUCCUCAUAAGACUUUUGGAGUUCCGCUGUCAUCGUGGCCAUCAUGAUGCAAGCCACUUUCGUAGCAUCCCUUUCAUGUGCCCGAAAUUCAGCGAUCUCCUGAGGAGUUGCAGUGGACUCAUCAAUCUCCUUAAGCUCCUUGUCAAGGACAUAUUCUUUGUCCUCGUAGCGGGUAAUCAUCCUGAUGUUUCUGAUCCACUCAUUGAAGUUGGAUCCAUCAAAGGUGACUUUCCCACACAAGUUCAUAAGGGUAAAGGAGCCAUUAGGAUUAGAGCCAGAAGCAUUGUUGAAAGACAUCUGAAGGAAAGAGGACAAGAUUAGUUUAGAUAUAAGAGAGUCCUUAAUAAAACACCCAAAUGUAAUAUUAAGGCUAGGAUCCAAUCACAAUAUAAUAUAACUUAGAAGAGGUAUGCCGUAAUCUAAGCUAUAUCAUAUUUGAAAGGUAGGUGAAUGACGAUUCACCAAUUUCCACCACGAAAACCGCAAUAUUUUAGUAUUAGGUUUUUGAAUGGUUCUUAGAAAUUCCUAGAUUCUUUGAGAUUCAAUGAACUUUUCAAAGGCAUGUUUCAAUCUCGAGUGUGCCCUCCAAGUUUUGUGACUGGGAUACCGAGGAUCACAAAACGAGGUGUGAAGUAACCAUGCAAAUCACUUGGUACCCUUAAAGUUUAUCACUCAAUCGAUGUGCCGGUAAACCACACAUGCUCCAUCGAUACUAUGAUAAACCUUAAGUCAGCCUUUACCUACGUUGUUAAGUCCAAGUUAGUGCGCCGGUUAACCACACACACUCCACCAACGACUUAAACAAAGUGUAAAGUGUAAUUUCAUGGGUUAGCACCUUAUUCACAUUUUCCUAAAGUAACUAAGAUUGAGGAUUUAAUAAAACAUUUUAGUUACUUUAUAAUAUUCAUCAUACUUUUAAUGAGAAUUUAUAAGUUCUUGUCCUACCCGUUCAGCUAACAACCCUCCACCGAUCAAGGAAGCGGUGGGUGAGAGUGAACACCCAUUAAGUUGCCCUUUUAUAGGCAACAACAUUAUACCCCCUUAUAGACCAGCUUCGUGAAUGAGGCGUACUAGUGGUGAGACGACUUCAUCUUAUAAAUAUUUAUAUUAUUAACUUAUAAUAUUAUAAAGUAUAAGGGUUGAAUUUUAACUUUUAAAAUUCUAAGGGUUGGAACUAAAGUUUAUUAAGUGAAUUUACUUUUCCAAAACUUGAGGGCUAGUUUUGUAUCUUUACAAAACCUUUCACAUUCAUAACUUAUGAGUCAUUAAAAUGAAGACUCUUCAUUUUAUAACUUAUGUGUUCUUUUAAUGGCUUUUAACACAAAUAGCCUUUUGGCUAUCCAUACCUUGAGGACAAGUUAUGGACUCCAUUAAAACACAUAAAGAUCAUGAAUUAAUCAGAUAAACAACUAACUCCUAUGAUCUAUCAAGAACUAAUAAGAACAUGAAUAUUCAUAUCAACAUUUCAAGAACAUAUGAACACAUAUAAUCAUGAAAAAUUGAUAUUAGCCAUUGUAAAUGGAUUAGAACAACCAUUACACCAUCUAAAACAAGUUUUAUAAUACCAAAACAAUUUAGGGUAAUGUUUCUAGUCCAUUUCCAACAGCACAAAUUGAAUUUUUGCAUUCUGCAUGACCAACUCAUCGAGUACAUGAACAGACUCGUCGAGUUGGUUGUAUUUACAGUUGGACUCGUCGAGUCCUCCCCAUGGACUCGUCGAGUCUCCUGAGCAGACAUCAAAAAAUCGAUUUUUCAAUAAUAUUUUGCAUCAAGUAUUCACAAACAAGCCUAGGCUCUGAUACCACUGAUGGGUUUUGAGCAUUCUAACACUUCCUAAGUGUACAUGCAACCCUAAUAACCUUGGAUCUAUGUUUGUCGAAAUACAUGCAAAAUUUGGUUUCCAAGGUUCGUAAUCCUAUCUGGCAUACAUGGGAACUUUUAUCCUAAUGGGAUGGCUAGAAUUACAUACCUUGUAGUUGAUUUUGAUUCCUUGAAACCUUGUGAGCCUUACACCCCAAGUGUGAUUCAUCAAGUGCUUCUCACAACACCAAAUGCUUUUGGAAUGACUUUAGAGAGAAUGCACACACUCUAAAAAUCGGCCUAGCCCUCACUUCUCUUUGUGUAACCGAUUUUGGGGAGAACACCUUUGUUUAUAUACUGUGUUGCAUUAGGUAAACCCUAAUGUAACAUGACUCUUCAUUUCAUGAUCCAUGGGUUAACUCCAUGGAGCAUCCUAUGGGUGGAACCCAACUUGAUAAUCCAUGGAGCCUCUUAGCCCACUAUAUAAGAUGUGGAAGAUUUACAUAAUCUACCCAUAUCAUUAAUUAGUUAUCUUUUGAUCACUUAAUUAAUUCUAAAUUAAUUCUUGAUCAAACUAAUUAAAUAAUAUUAUUAAUAUAUUAGAACUUAUAAUAUAUUAAUAAACCAUAAGUGUUAUUUCUCUCAUUUUAGUUUAUCCAAUUGCAUGGUGCCAUGCAACCCAAAUAGACCAUGUCGGGUCGGGUUAAGUACAUACCAGAAAUAGUUAUGUUCUUAGACACCUUAUCCAACAAAUUAGAGCCCACUUCGGUAAACUUCACAACCUGAGUAAUAAUUGUGUCAUCAAGGAAAUUUUUCUCGAAACUUUGAAUCACCCAUGUGAUCAAAUUCCAAUCAUUGGCACAAUUUAUCCCAACUCUUAGGCCUCAUCAGUUGUCAAUGAGGAAAUCCUUCUGGAAGGACCCGAAACAUUUGAACACUAUCCAAACUUGUUUUCUGUCCGCAGUCCUCCUAACUACAGUCUUGACCCAAAAUUACCAUACAUAAAGUGUCCCACUAAAGAACCAUUUUUGACUUACUCUGUGGUAGUCCAAUCUUCUUUACCUCAGACUGAAGUCAAAAGUAUUAUGACCAUUCAACUAGUCCUUCAUGAUUUUCCCAGAGAAAAUUUCGAGUUUGGUCAAUGUUCUCAGAGUCCUGAACCUUCUAGUUCAGAUGACUCAAGUCCACGAUUUCGAAAACAAUCAAAGGUUUCGAGGAAAGCGCAGUCGAACCUCAAUGACUGCGGUUCUCCAAAAACUCAGGCAAAACUGGAUUUAAAGGAAGAACUUAGAUCUCGUAAUAAAAAGAGAGAAGUAUUUUCAAAAAAACAAAAGACAAGCCAUAAUUUCAAAACACAAGAGUCCAGAAAAACUUGUUUUCUCAAAUUACAUUUUCUCAAAUUACUUUUCGAAAAACUCUGCAGUCAAGAAAUCAACCAGAAAGGAAUGUACAGUUUCAAAAACCUUUUCAAACUCUUCUGACAAGACUUAAAAGUGAGUAAAGUCUUUUCAAAGUAAUGGUUUUCAGAUUUAUUCCUUAGACAACCCAAAAUGGAAAGGAAUUUUACCAACUCCAACGCAUUUCUAGUCACCUCAACUUUUCAGAAAAACACAACCUAGGAGAUUUGCACAUACUCACACUCUUUCAAACCAUACUUUUCAAAUCCCAAGGGUAUCUAUGUCAAAUCUCAUUCUUGGACAGGUCACAAGACUCACCCUACACCAUCCGGACCGUUGACCAAGCACAGUGUCUAGAAAAAUGAGAAAAAGCUAUCAUUUGGCCUUUAUAAAGGGUUAUCUCAAGUCCAGUCUUGCACCUGUAAAAAUCCUCAUAAAUCUACUAAAUCCAACAACACUCCAAUGAUUCACAAACACCCAGGUCUAGGUCUCAAGAUUGACUUAAAGCCUGUCCCUGCAACCUCGGUUCAUGCAUUUAUGAAAAACCCAUCAGUCUCCUCGGACUCUAAACUUGUUUGGGUGCCCAAACUAACCGUGUAAUUUUCAGCCAAUGUGUAAAGAGGAAGAACAAGAGGAUUGGUUAAUAGACGUUGCCUGCUCCUUGCACAUGACCGGAAGGUUAGAAUACGUUUGAGAUUUCAGGCCUAUAUGAAAUGGUGGAAAAGUCACAUUCGGAAACAAUCCUAAUGGAAUAAUUUGAGGUUACGACUUCUCUAUUCAAAAGGAUGCUUACGUAGAAGGCCUCAAACAUAAUCUCAUCAGUGUAGGCCAACUAUGCAAAGCAGGCCAUCGGGUUGAGUUUGAUAAUGAAUUCUGCUACAUCAUGACAAGCGAUAGAAGCAUCUGCUUGAUCAAAUCUAAAUCCGAAGGGACCAUGUACCCUUUGGAUGUCUCCUUGAUCAUUGGGAAACCGCAACUAUGUUUUCUGUCCAAAGCCGUAUCAUAAGUUAGCUGGUUGUGGCAUCGCAAGCUGGUGCAUAUGAACUUUUGGUACAUCAACAACCUUGUUACUGAAGAACUCGUCCGAAGCCUCCCAAUUCUGAAGUACUGCUAUGAAACACUCUACCCUGCUUGUGAGUGUGGAAAACAAUCUAAGAGAAGUCACCCAUUGGUAAUUGAUUCAUCAAUUUCAGAACCACUAGGGUUGUUGCAUAUUGAUCUAUGUGGUCCGUUAACCGUAGCUAGUCUCCAUCACAAAAAGUACAUACUGGUUAUAGUUGAUGACUUCACUCGUUUCACAUGGGUCUAUUUCUUGAGACUCAAGUCUGAAACACCGCAAAUUCUAAUAAACUUCAUAAAAGAAAUCGAACUCCAGAUCAAGUUACCAGUUUGCGGAAUCCGUAGUAACAACGGAAUCGAGUUCACUAAUCCUCUCUUGGAUAGUUUCCGGGUUUCCAAAGGCAUCAGUCACAACUUCUCUGCUCCAUACACACCGCAGCAAAACGGAGUAGUAGAUCGAAGGAACCGCACUCUGGUAGAAGUAGCCAGAUCUAUGUUAAAUUUUGCAAACCUUCCUCUAUACUUCUUGGUCGAAGCAGUGGCAACGACAUGCUUUGUCCAAAAUCGAAGCAUUGUCUGCAAGCGUCUCAACAAAACACCUUAUGAGGGCCUCAACAAUCGUAAACCGAAUGUCCGAUUAUUUCACAUAUUCAGGUGUAGAUGUUUUGUGAUCAACAACAAAGAUCACCUUAACAACUUUUCUUCGAAUUCAGAUGAAGGCAUAUUCCUAGGCUACUCAACAAACAAGGUGGGAUACAGAUUCUUAUCAGACGCACGCGGCUAAUAAUUGAAAGCUUCGAUGUCAAAUUCGAUGACUAUUAUGUCCGUAACAUUGAUACUUCAAGAGAAACAAAAGCAAUCCUGGAUGGUGAUAUCCCAGCCUCUUCGGGUCCUCUCAACUUAGUUGUGGUUAACAAUGAUGACCACUUUGACCCGGUAGAAACUGCUCAACUGUCUGAAAUCCUUUUGUCUCCGGAAGCUCAACAACAACACGCUGAAGUUUCUGGACCAUCCAUAUCUGAUGACUUGUCUCAUGGAACUUCCACCUUGCCAGUUGAGGGAGAAUGCAUUACUCCGGUUAUUACGACAACCAUCGAGGUUCCAGUGCUUAAAUACAAAGCUCCCGUUUAUUUAUUUAUUUAUUCGGUAGUGCAUGCAUAAGCUCAAAGUGGACCAUACGCUUCCAUGACUUGUACCACAUCAAAAAUCACUUGUGAUCUCUGAAUUUUUUAUACCCAAACACACCAAAUUAAAUUUCAUCUCGGAAAAUCUUAUCCAUACACACCAACAACCAAUUUCAUUUCGGAAAUAGCAUAAACACCAACAACCAGUUAUUGAGAGAAAAACUUGAGAAACACACUUGAACAAAUGUUAGAACAAGUUAUAUUGAAGAAUAAGUUUAACUCAAAGGAUCAUAAAGCUCAACAAUAAUAAUAAGUUAGAGUUAGGUUACGGUGAUAGCAUGCAUUUAGCACUUGAGAAAAACCAACAACCAAUUUCAUUUCGGAAAUAGCAUACACACCAACAACCAAUUGUUGAGACAAAAACUUGAGAAACACACUUGAACAAACUUCAGAACAAGUUAUAUUGCGGAAUGAGUUUAACUCAAAGGAUCAUAAAGCUCAACAAUAAUAAUAAGUUAGAGUUAGAGAGUUAGAUAAUUAGAUGCAGAAAUAUAAGGAAAUAUAAAUGACAACAAGUAUUAUAUCAAGUAAAACACUUACGUUGAUUCGUAACAAGGAUUGUGUCACAACUAGGAAUUCUAUACCGUGUAACAACAACAAUGCUAACAUUUGGGAACCAAAAAUGUGAAAGCAUGUAAUGAUGCUUAUUUAAUAACAACAAAUUUUCCAUCAAACACUCUAUACAAGCAUUUCAAAUAGUCAACAAAAGUUGGGAACCCAAAAAAUCCUAGUUAAAGUCCAUUUUGGACUAGGAUUUUCUUGUUGGGCAUAAUGGACCAAUAAGUUUCCAAUUUGACUAUUUUGGGCUUAGAACUCUUGAAUGGGCCCUAAUUGGACCCACUUUCAUUUAUUUUAACAUUUUGGGCCAUAAUGGGCCUAGAAUGAAAUAAAAUAUCCUAAUGGACCUUAUUGGGCCAUAACUAACCUAAUUAGCUUUAAUGGGCUAUGAAACCCAUUAUUUUUGACAAAUUGGGCCAUAAUCCAUCAUAGGAGCCCAAUGGGCCAAAAACCAUCAAAAAUGGGCCCAUAAGAUGGAAUUAAGCACCAAAGGCCCAAAAUUCUUUUUCUUUCUUCCCUUUUCUUGGCCCAAGAAGAAAACAAAAAAAAGAGAAAAUAAGUGAAAUAAGAGAAGAGUUGACUUUGGAGUGCCACCUCCAUAAGAUCUAACAUGCAUCAAGGCUUUAAACCACCAUACAACCAAGCAAGUCACAUCACCUUUCUCUUUCCCUCUCUUUUUUUCUUCCUCACGGCUGAAACCUCACAAACAUACACACACUUCCAAAUUCUCUCAAACACUCACAAGAACACUCUACACUUCCUCUCUAAUUUUCGAGAAUUUACACAUCUUCAAGUAGAGUUUCAUCAUCAAAAAUCAUCAAUUCUUGGUAUGUCUUACCACACUUAAGUUGUAUGACUUCAUUUUCAUGUUAGAUCACUCAUUCUAAGUAAGUUUUUCAUGAUCUACUCCUAGAAUCUUCUUAAAUUCAAGAUUUACUCAAGGGAGUUGCUAGGACCAAAAUGUUAUUUCAUUUCUUCUUCAAAACCGAACCCACAAACUCAAGGUGAGUUCAUACCCCUCUAUUUUCGGUUUUCAUAUGUUUUAUGGGGGAGAAUACAAGUAAAAUGUGUAGAUCUAUGUGUAUGUGUAUGUUAUGUGUGAUUUCAUGUGUUUGUGUGAUAAAUAUGUAACAAAAAGAAUGGAAAUCUUGAGAUCUAUGGAUCUAAGAGGAAGAUAAACAUGAUCUCGAACAUCUUACACUAAACAAGUUAAUAAAAUUACCCUCUAAUAUUAAAGUAUACAUAUUGCAACAUAAAACUCACUUUUGGGCUAAAAUUGUCAAACAAACGAAAGUUGUGUUGAAAAAUUGCUAUUCACAGUUUUCUCAAGGAUUAAAAGAGUAAAAAAAGUAAAAAAUAAGUGUUUUUAUGAAUAUCAUACUCUUUUAAAGGUUAGAAAUGAAAUUUAUGGCUUAACGGGCCAAAUUUUAGGCUUUUCGACCCAAUGAGCCAAAACUUGCGAAAUUUUCAACUCUCAAGGGGUUGAAAUUAUACUUCUCAAAACAAGGGGUAAAAGGGUGAAUAAAACUAAUUCAGGUGUUAAAAUGAUGUAUUUUCCAAAUAAGGAUCAAAAUUGUAAACUUUUUUGGAUUUUGGGUCAAAAUUGUAAAAGUUGCAAAACGUUUGGGCUUUAAUCGAAAAAUACUUUUCUAGAAGGGCUGAAACUGCCAAAGAAUAAGUUUUGAGCUAAAAAUAUCACUUGAACAAGUCUUUGGGUCAAAGGUGUCAAGAAAAUGGUUUAAGGGCUUAAAAUCUCUUUUUAUAUAUAAAAGGACUAAAAUUGUCAAUUUUACCAACUGGCCUUGUUCCGGUGCGAAAUUAACAAUUACCCAAUCAAACUAUCCAACAAUUAAACUAUACCUAAAACAAGUAAACAUUAAAUUCUUUGGGCUUGAAAGUUCCAAACUUGCUUGUUGGGCCUUUGUGACCCAUUAACAUGAUUUUUGGGCCCAAGGGAUAAUAAUAAAUAUUAUUGGGCCUUCUAUGCAUGCUAGUUAUUGGUUUAAUGCCUUGGAAACCAUUUGCAUGUAUAAUUAUUGAAAACAUAGAUCCAAGGUAUUUAGGAUUUUAUGUGCACCAUAGGAUGUUGUAUUAUACCAAAACCCAACAGUGGUAUCAGAGUCAUGGGUUGUUUUCUACUAUAUUUGAUGCAAAUGUAUUUUUUUCAAGUUGAUGGAAAAUAAAAAAGAAAAAAAAAACAUGAAGUUUGUCAAAUUUUAUGAUAAUUACUUGAUUUUAUGAAAAACUAAUUAUCUGUAAAAUUUGAGUCACUUUACUACAAGAGUUGAAUUAGGUCAAUUUAUUAAAAGAUAGAAUGAUAUGAUUAUUUUAUUUGUUUUAAAAGUUUGAUCAAAGUGGUUUUAAGGAGUUACAAAUUUUGUCAUAAAGUUUUGUAGCUCCAAUUUUUUUUUUUAAAGUUAUGAUCUUAAGUGUUUUGAAACUUCCAUAAGUUAUGGAUGUGAAAUGUCUCAUUUAUUAACUCUUUAGGUUAUGAAGUCCAAGCGUCUUCAAAGGAUAAUUGUCAAAGUUUCAAGAUUUGUAUUAGUUUAUAUGAUUAUAUAAUUUCUUGAAAAUUGUUGAUGUGAAUUAUCUUUACUUAUGAGUUUAAUCUAGAUCAUAGAAAAAUUAUUUGAUUAUUGUGUUAAUUGGAAUAUUUGAUCUUAAUGGUUUUUAUGAACUCCAUAACUUGUCCUCAAGUUAUGGAAAGUGAAGAGUUUUUCUUUUUAAAGUGUCAUUAAGUCUCAUAGGUUAUGAAAAUAGAAGAGUCUCUAUUUUUAAUGUCAUCAUUAAAUGAUUUAAUGUCUUCCAUAACUUGUCCUCAAGUUAUGGAACUUGAUUUUUUUUCAUUAAACCUUAAUUAAACUCACAAGUUAUGAAAAAGCCAAGAGUUUUGAAAGGUUUCAAAACUUGUCCUCAAGUUUUGGAAUUUGUAAAGUUACCCCCCAUGUAUACUUUAAUUCCAAACUAGACCUUAGAAUUUUAAAAGUUAAAAUUCAACCCUUAUACUUUAUAAUAUUAUAAGUUAAUAAUAUUUAUAUAUAUGUAUAAGAGUAAAGUCAGUCUUACCGUUAGUAGGCCUCAUUCACGAAGCCGGUCUAUAAGGGGGGUAUAAGGUUACUGCCUAUAAAAUGGCAGUUUAAUGGGUGUCCACUCUCACACACCGCUUCCUUGACCGGUGGAGGGUCGUUAGCCGAACGGGUAGGACAAGGACUAUAAUUCUCCCUUCAUUAAAAGUAUUAAUGAUAAAUACUAAGUAACUAAACCUUUUAUAAAUACCCAAUCUUAGUUACUUAGGAAAACAUGAAUAAUGUGCUAAUCCAUGAAAUUACACUUAGCACUUUGUUUAAGUCAGUUAGUGGGGCGUGUGUGGUUAACCGGCACACUAACUCGUAUUUAACAAGGUAGGCAAAGGGUAACUUAAUGUUUAUCAUAGUAUCGAUGGAGCGUGUGUGGUUAACCGAGACAUUGAUUGAGGGGUAAACACUUAAGGGUACCAAGUAAUUUGCAUGGUUACUUCACACCUUGUUUUGUGAUCCUCGGCAUCCCAGUCACAAAACCUGAAGGGCACACUCGAGAUUGAAACAUGCCAUUGAAAAGUUCAAUGAAUCUCAAAAGAUCUAGGAGUUUCAAAUCCAAUUAAAACCUAAUAAAUUAUUUCGUUUUUCAUGGUGGAAAUUGGUGAAUCGUCAUUCACCUACCUUCAAAUAUUCUAUAGCUUGGAUUACGGCAUCCCUCUUCCAAGUUAUAAAAUAGUUUGUUGGGUCCUAGCCUUAAUAUUUCAUAUUGGGUGUUAUAUUAAGGACUUUAAAUCAACUAUCUUGAAUAUCUCCCAAAAGAUGUCUAGUUCAGACAUCUAUGAUCUUCCCAAAUAUCUUGGAACUUCACUUCCUCCACCUCCUCCAAUUAUUCUCCCUAACCCACAAGUUCAAGGUCACUCAAGCCCUAUUGGCAAGGCAAGGUCUAGGUGUGAUCACAUCUUGGAGAUGAAGUCACAUACUGACAAGCCGGGAGAGUUGGGUGUCAAAGUCUUAAGAAAGUUAGUGGUUCAAUCACUUUCUAAGUCACAUAGUGAGUUCCUUGGGACUCCUAUGAAACACACUAUGACAAGACCCUUAAUGAUCUUAUCUUUUUGCUUUGUGCUGCUAAAUCAGAAACGAUUUAGUGUACUAGUAAAGCAAAUUUGAUUAGGAGAUCAACUUCCCAAAACUUUAUGGACAGGGACAAUAGCGACACAGGACAUCCAGAAAAGCAUUCUCUUCCCAAUGGAAAGGGAUCGACCAUAGUCAACUCUGUUGACCAAAUGGUAAAGAGAAAGGCUAAGUCUUAGAUAGUCCCAUGUACUAUUACCUAAGGGUCCAUAUAGUCCUAUUGCCAAAAGGAAAGGGCAUUGGUUGCGAAGCUAUCAAUUUUACCUGAAAGAUCAUAAGGCUAGUAAAGUCAAUAAGUUUGACACUAUUUCAGUUAAGGUCCACUAUCUAACUCGGUUAAGUUUCUAUUCUAAGAUUCUUAUUACAAGAUGUGACUGAGUCACAUGUUGAUGUUUAAGUGUAACAUACACGUUUUGAAAUCGUGUUUUAAGUAAAUAAUAUUAUGAAAUAUUAUGUGAAUUUGAAAUUUUAGUUCUAACAGAUAGUUUUUACUAGAAAUGAAGUAAAACUAUGUUUAGAAUCACUCAUAAAAUGUCGGAAGUCUUUUUAGAUUCCAACUAAAAGCCAAAUAUUGAAAUACAACGAAAAUAUAAAAAUUGGAAUAAGUAAAAUUUUAUUAUUGAAAGUUGUAGAUAAUCUCGUUAGAAACAUUUAGGCGAAAACCUCAUCGAAAUCCGAGUUAUAACGAAGAAGUUAUGACAAAUCGGAGAUCAGCGAUAAAACCAGCAUGGCGCCGAAUGACGUAAAAAACGAGUUUUUGAUAAACUACUUUUUGAAUUAGUAAUCUAAAUGAAAUUCGUAGUAUUCGUUAAACUGAGAAGUUCGCUAAAAAGAAUGCCAAAAUCUGACUUCGUAUGACGAAGUAUGAUUUUUCGAAGUUUCAGCUUAGCAGUAGACAACUAAAAACUUGAAUUUUAGAUCGAUUGAUUUUUAACCGACACAACCUAAAUGAGAAUUGAAGGUCUCAUCAUUUGUAAUACAACAGUAAAAUGUCUGACGAAAACGGAUGUCGGAUGAAGAAGUUAUGAAUUUUUAACGGAUUUUCCUGUCCCGGUCUGUUAAAAAUAAUAAUGUUAAAAUUAAAUUCAAAAUUAGCCGACAAAGUCUAAACAAAAGUCGUAGAGCAUAAUUUUAGCUACGCGUGCAUAUAAAGAACGUCAAAAACAGAGCUCGUAUGCAAAAGUUAUGGAUUUUACAAGAUUUGGCACAUUUUUCGAGAAAAUUUGCAUGGAUAGUACUGCCACGUCAGCCCUCGCAUACAACCUCCACAUGUCACCUUCUGAUAGGACCGAGGUUGUUGUGUCGCCUUCUGAUUGGACCAAGUCCGAGGUCUACUAAGCUUGGGACACCUUCGCAAGAGCCACCUCCGGAUCACCCUCGCACCAACGUGGAGCCUGCCCAUUGGACCGAAGUUGGGUCCAAUCUGAGGCUGCCGUCAGCGAGCCUGCUGUUCCGAGCCGAAGACCGAGCCGAAGACCCAGCUGAUGACUCCUCGCAUCUGAGCCUCGCCGAAGCUGCCAUCUGAUCCGAGCCUUGCAGCCACCUGCCCUCUUCCCUUCGCUUCGGAUCCGAACCUCGGCCCUAUAUAAGGGGUGCAAGACCUCCCGGGUAAAUGUUUGAAAAUUGCCCCUUUUUACCCCUAAACUUAUAUUUCUUCUACUUCCACUUCCCCCGAAGCCCCAGUACUGAUUCCAAAGCCUGAAAUACGCCCCGAGACUCCCAAGAAGCCCGAAAAAUUUAUCUUUUCGGUUUCGAAGCUCUACCUUCGCAGAGGCCGGUUUUCAACGACGAAAGUCAUAUUUAGAGCCAAAGUACUGCCCAAAUUAAUAUUUUAACCCGCGGUUAUUUCACAGUGAGUUUAAUAUAUAGAAAUAAUUGUAUGUUAUGUGUUAUAUGUGCUACGUGCUUUUCAGUGUUAUUAUUCCGGGUUAUUUUCCCGGGUUAUUUUUAAUUGCUAUUUUUAAUAGCAAAGAAAUACCUUUGACCAUGUGAUCAGUGAAAGGACUUAGAUUCACGUUGGUACUGGUAUGUAGCCUCUGGCCAUGUGGAACAUGUCUCCGUAAGAGAAUGAAUUCUAUUCUAUGGUAGUGGCAGAAGGUUAGACAGGGCUAUAAGCCUGAAAUCUACCGAAAUGUUAAUCCGAAGUUGUAUAUCUUCUGUGCCGUUUGGGCCAAAGCUUUAUUGAUGUAUAUCAAGCAUGGAAAUUGUUAUGUCUCAUUGAUUGUAUAUCUUUAAAUCAAAUCAAUGAUUGAUAUGGAAUGUUUGUCACAUGAUUCACAUAUGCCCUUGUUGUUCCUUGUUCCUCUUUGCUUCUGCCCUAUUAAAGUAUAUAUAUGGCAUAACGUUAUAUUGUAUCUAUUAUUGAACUCACUAAGCGUGUCCGCUUACCCUCUCGAUGUUUAACAAAUUGCAGGAGAUAAACAUCCAGUAUAGUUAUAUACUGGUAGAAGAUUUUUGAAUAGUUUGAAACUAUUGUAUCGAUGGAAGCUUAUGAAUAGUUUGAAACUAUUGUAUUUUGCACUCCCAUAUGUAUAAAACUAUAGAAUCCUGGGAAGUUAUGUAAUAUAUAACACUUUAAAAUAGUCGGUUUGUAUCCAGUAGUUUGUAAUCUCUUUAUCAAUGUAAAAUAUUGUUUUUAUGAAUAUGCAAGUAGCAUGUUUUGGAGUAACUAUAUUGUCGAGUAUGAAAGUUUGGGUCUUUCAUAAAUACGAAAGUUAGGGUCUUUCAAUCAUGGUAUCAGAGCAGUAGUUUGAGUGAACUAAAUUCCACGGAUUGGUAUUUAGACUUAAACUAUUGGAAGUUCAAUAUAUGAACUAAAUCAUUAUAAGUAUAGGGAUACAAACCAUAGGAAAUAUAUAAGUAAAAGUAUUAGGUAAUAAUAAACCCUAAUAUUCUAAAAUACAAUGUUACUCCGUAUUGCAGAGCAAUGGCUGAACAGGUUAGUAGCCAUACCCCUGAGGUUGGUGGAGGUCCUCAACCCGAGGAAGUGAAUACUCCAGUAUCUCCUCGUGAGGAGCGACUCUUGGGUAAACUUACCGGUGUUAUUCGACAGACUCUCGAAGAACACAAAAAGAAUGGUGAUAAGGGAAAAGAGAAAGCCACUGGAGAAUCUUCAAAAGGAGAGGUGAAGCGUCCCUCGUUCAAAGAUUUCAAGAGUAGUGGUGCUACAGAGUUUUCCGGUGUUCUCAAUCCCAUUAUUGUUCUUACUUGGAUCCAGAACACAGAGAAAGUGUUUCGUAUUUCUCAUGUGGAUAAUGAAGACAAGGCUAACUAUGCUUCCGCAAUGCUCAUCGGAGAAGCCUUGGUCUGGUGGGAAGCAACAUAUGAAGCUCUCAACGGGUUUGACCAGGAGAAUUUAGCCUGGGAAAUGUUUAAAACUCGUUUGCUAGAGAAGUAUUGUCCUCUAGACAUCAGGAGGAGAUUGGAGAAGGAAUUCCUCGAGCUUAAACAAGGAGGAAUGACUGUGAAUGAGUAUGUAACUCUGUUUAAUCAAAGAGCAAGGUUUGCUACAAAGUAUAUUCCAACUGAAGACGAGAAAAUUCAGUUAUUCAUGGAGGGACUACGACAUGAGAUCCACGAUUUCGUUGCCAAUCGAGAAGUUUUGUCAUUCGAUAAAGCCGUUGGAUAUGCUCGAAGAUGUGAUCAUGACUUAGAAAUACGUGGUGCCACUGUUACUGCUCCGAAGCAUCCACGUACUGAAAGAAUUGUUCCUGUUCCUUCUUUUCUACCAACUCAAUCCGUUCAGACUGAACCUAGUAAUCAAGUUCAAACUCAAAGUGUCUCUCGUGGACGCGGUAGAUCACAAUCUUUUUCUAUGCAAUUGCCUUCAUGUCGUAUUUGUGGAAGGAAUCGUUCGGGCCAAUGCAAAAUAGACAAGGAAUCCAUUGUCUCUUAUGGAUGCGGAGAAAAGGGUCAUAUAAAGCCAGCUUGCCCAAGAAAGGAUGUUACUUGCUAUGCAUGUGGUAUUACUGGCCAGAAAAAGCGUUUUUGCCCUACUCUUACUAGUCAGAUAACGGGAAGUCAAGCUUCUGUUCAACAACCAACGAGAAGCNUUCUGUUCAACAACCGGCGAGAAGCCAAGUCCCUGUUCAACAAUCAAAGGGUACUCCAACUAAAAAGGAGGAGGUGCCAAAAGCUAGGGGUCGUGCAUUCCAGAUUACCUCAGAGGAGGCACGCGAGGACCCGAAUGUUGUGACGGGUACAUUUUUAUCAACUCUAGACCUGCUCACAUCCUAUUUGAUUUUGGUGCCUAUGAUUCUUUUGUGUCUUACGAAUUUGCGCAUGCCUUUCAAAUUGCUUGCUUUGUACUCGCGCAACCAUUUCACGCAGAUACUGUGGGAAGUAUAUCAUUACUUGCUGACAAAAUCUAUAGGGAUUGUGUUAUAGAAAUUGAAGGCUAUACUUUUCUCGCUAACCUGAUCCCUAUCUCCUUGCCCAACUUUGAUAUUAUUCUCGGCAUGGAUUGGUUAUCAAAGAACCACGCUGAACUCUUGUGCUAUGAAAAGAUAGUACGCAUUCCUAUUGAAGGGGAGAAUCCUAUCUAUGUCUACGGUGAACAAAGACUCUUAAAAAUAAUCUCUUUCCUUAAAGCUCGUAAAUUCAUAUCAAAAGGGUGUUCUAUCUAUCUGGCCUACACAGUUGAUGUCUCAAAAGAGGAGAAGAAAAUUGUAAAUGAUGUUCUAUUUGUUAACGAAUAUCCUAACGUUUUCCCAGAUGAAUUGCCUAGCCUUACUCCGGAUAGGCAAGUAGAAUUCCGAAUUGACCUUGUGCCUGGUGCUGCUCCAAUUGCAAAGACUCCUUAUCGUCUUGCGCCAGCUGAGAUGAAAGAAAUGAUGAUCCAACUGCAAGAACUACUUGACAAGGGUUUCAUUCGACCGAGUACCUCUCCCUGGGGUGCUCCGGUACUAUUUGUCAAGAAGAAAGAUGGAUCGAUGCGGAUGUGCAUUGAUUAUCGUGAGCUGAAUAAGGUGACUAUCAAGAACAAGUACCCACUACCUCGCAUCGACGAUUUGUUCGAUCAACUUCAGGGUGUUAGCUAUUUCUCAAAAAUUGAUUUAAGAUCUGGCUAUCAUCAGUUGAAAGUUCACGAGCAGGAUGUACCGAAGACUGCUUUUCGUACUCGAUAUGGGCAUUAUGAAUUCCUUGUUAUGCCGUUUGGUUUAACAAACGCUCCGGCUGUAUUCAUGGAUAUGAUGAAUCGGGUAUGCCGCCCAAUGCUCGAUAAAUCAGUCAUCGUAUUCAUUGAUGAUAUUCUAAUCUAUUCCAAGUCUGAAGCUGAUCAUGCCAUUCAUAUUCGUGCGGUAUUGGAACUUCUUCGAAAGGAGAAACUAUAUGCUAAAUUCUCGAAAUGUGAAUUUUGGCUUCGCCAAGUUCAAUUUCUCGGCCAUGUUAUUUCUAGUGAUGGUGUAUCCGUAGAUCCUAUCAAAAUCGAAGCCAUUCAAAAUUGGGAAGUGCCCCGUAAUGCUUCCGAAAUUCGUAGUUUCUUAGGUCUCGCGGGAUAUUACCGGAGAUUCAUUAAAGACUUUUCUCGUAUAGCCGUACCUCUCACGAGUCUUACACGGAAAGAAGUGAAGUUCGAAUGGGGUGAAACCCAAGAAAGAGCUUUCUCAACUCUAAAAGAUCUUUUGACUCAUGCUCCAAUCUUAUCACUCCCAGAAGGUGAUGAUGACUUCUCCGUAUAUAGCGAUGCUUCAAGAUUGGGACUCGGUUGUGUGUUGAUGCAACGUGGUAAAGUGAUAGCCUAUGCCUCAAGACAACUGAAAGAUUAUGAAAAGAAUUAUCCCACUCAUGAUCUCGAACUCGCUGCAGUGGUAUUUGCCCUAAAACUUUGGAGGCAUUAUCUUUUUGGUACAAAGUGCCAAUUAUUUACCGACCACAAAAGUCUCAAGUACAUAUUCAGUCAGCAAACUUUGAAUAUGAGACAACAACGAGCUAUGGAGCUGAUCAAAGAUUAUGAUUGUGAAAUCCUAUAUCAUCCUGGAAAAGCUAACGUGGUCGCUGAUGCACUUAGCAGAAAAGUUUAUCGCAAUAGUAUGUGUUAUGCCAUUACUCAUACUACAGUAAAUUCACUAUUUUAUAUGAAUUAGAGAAAUGGCAAGAAGAGGCCCUAAAGCUAGAAAAUGUGAAGAAAGAAGGGAUGAUACAUUAUAAUGAUGUUUUACUUGAUGAUCCGCGAGGAAUAAAAGUAUUCAAGAAUCGGCUGUGGAUUCCAAAGAUUGGUGGAUUGAGACAGAAGAUUUUAGAUGAAGCCCAUAAAUCUAAACUGUCAAUCCAUCCUGGUACAAGUAAAAUGUACUAUGAUGUAAGAGCUGAUUAUUGGUGGCCUGGAUUAAAGAGAGACAUUGGAAGAUAUGUACAGGAAUGCUUAGUAUGCUUACAAGUCAAAGCAGAGCACCAAAAGCCUUAUGGAACCCCAGAAAGUCUUAGUGUUCCUGUAUGGAAAUGGGAGGAAUUGUCCAUGGAUUUCAUUACCAAAUUGCCAAAGACUGCUAGACAGCAUGAUAGCAUUUGGGUAAUUGUCGACCGCCUGACUAAAAGCGCUCAUUUUCUUGCCAUGCGUGAAACGGCUCCAAUGGAGAAAUACGCACAAGUAUACUUGGAUGAAAUUGUGGCAAGACAUGGUGUGCCACUAAAGAUCAUUUCCGAUCAUAAUACUCGCUUCACUUCUCACUUUUGGGCGAGUAUGCAACGUGAAUUAGGAUCUCGAGUUGCUCUCAACACAGCUUAUCACCCCUAGACAGAUGGUCAGACAGAGAGAACAAUCCAAACAAUAGAAGAUAUGCUCCGUGCAUGUGUCUUGGAGUUGGGUGGUAACUGGGAUAAAUAGUUAUCUCUUGUCUAAUUCUCGUACAAUAAUAGUUACCACGCUUUAAUUAAAAUGCCACCAUAUGAAGCAUUAUAUUGUCGCAAGUGUCGUACUCCAUUAUGUUGGCGAGACAUAGGAGAGAAGAUCCUUGGAGGCCCUGAAAUGAUUCAAGACACCACCGAAAAAAUUCAAAUUGUACGAGAAAGAAUGAAAGCGGCCCAGGAUCGACAUAAGUCCUACACAGAAAAGAGAAGACGACCCAUAGAAUUCCAAGUGGGUGAUUUCGUGAUGCUGAAGGUAUCUCCAUGGAAAGGCCUUAUGAGAUUUGGGAAGAAAGGAAAGUUAAGUCCUAGAUUUGUUGGUCCUUUCAAAAUCAUCCAGAGAAUUGGAAAGCAAGCAUACCGCUUAGAAUUACCUGAAGAUUUGGCAUGAUUUCAUGUGAGCUAUCUACGCAAAUGCUUGAGCAUCAAUGAUGAGACAGUUCCAUUAUCCGAGGUGAAAUUGGAUAAUAAGUUAAGAUAUGUAGAAGAGCCGGAAGAGGUUGUGAAUGAAAGAACAACUAAUCUAUGUAAUAAAGAAGUGGAGUUGGUGCUUGUCAAGUGAAAACACCAUCGAGGCCGAAAUUAUACUUGGGGAAAUAAGAAUGAGAUAAGAGCCAAAUAUCCCCAUUUAUUUUAAUCAAUGUAAUUUCGGGGACGAAAUCCUCAAAAGGAGGAGGUAUUUGUAACAUACACAUUUUGAAAUCGUGUUUUAAGUAAAUAAUAUUAUGAAAUAAUAUGUGAAUUUGAAAGUUGAGUUCUAACAGAUAGUUUUUACUAGAAAUGAAGUAAAACUAUGUUUAGAAUCACUCAUAAAAUGUUGGAAGUCUUAUGAGAUUCCAAUUAAAAGCCAAACAGUGAAAUAUAGCGAAAAUAUAAAAUUUGGAAUAAGUAAAAUUUUAUUAUUGAAAGUUUUAGAUAAUCUCGUUAGAAACAUUUAGGCGAAAACCUCAUCGAAAUCCGAGUUAUAACGAAGAAGUUAUGACCAAUCGGAGAUCCGCGAUAAAACCGGCACGACGCCGAAUGACGUAGAAAGUUAGUUUUUGAUAAACUACUUUUUAUCCUUAGUAAUCUAAAUGAAAGUCUUAGUAUUCGUUAAACCGAGAAGUUCGAUAAAAAGAACGCCAAAAUCUGACUUCGUAUGAGGAAGUUAUGAUAUUUCGAAGUUUCAGCUUAGCAUUAGAUAGCUAAAAACUCGAAUUUUAGAUCGAGUGAUUUUUAACCGACACAACCUAAACGAGAAUUGAAGGUCUCUUCAUUUGUAAUACAACGGUAAAAAGUCGGACGAAAACGGACGUCGGAUGAAGAAGUUAUGAAUUUUUAACGGAUUUUGUAUCUACUAUUGAAGUAGAUAUAUGGCAUAUCGUUAUAUUGUAUCUACUAUUGAACUCACUAAGCGUCACCGCUUACCCUCUCAAUAUUUAACAAAUUGCAGGAGAUAAGCAUCCAAUAUAGUUAUAUACUGGUAGAAGAUUUUUGAAUAGUUUGAAACUAUUGUAUCGAUAGAAGCUUAUGAAUAGUUUGAAACUAUUGUAUUUUGUACUCCCAUAUGUAUAAAACUAUAGAAUCCUGGGAAGUUAUGUAAUAUAUAACACUUUUAAAUAGUCGGUUUGUAUCUAGUAGUUUGUAAUCUCUUUAUCAAUGAAAAAUAUUGUUUUUAUGAAUAUGCAAGUAGCAUGUUUUGGAGUAACCAUAUUGUUGAGUAUGAAAGUUUAGGUCUUUCAUAAAUACAAAAGUUAGGGUCUUUCACAAUCCUAAUCCAAUGUUGGGAUUAUCACCACUUUUUCAUGAAAGGAUAAUUCAUGAUCUGGAUAUUGUUCCAUUCAUGUAUUAUGAUCUACCAACGCAAGAUGCGGACCAACUCGAUCUUCCAAUUUCUCCAUACAGAAGAUAUUACAUAAAGUUUUCUCCACUCCACCCAGAAGAUGGUCCUCAAAGGAUUGUCAGAACUGAGAAAGAAAGACUGCAAACAUUAUACUCCGUGAUCGCACAACCUCAAAAGGAAGAGUGGUCUCGGAAAGGAGUCACAAAAAUUAAUGGGUUCGGAAGAAAAGUCUUGAGCAAAUUUGACUUCAACUGCUUGCUGCACAUGUACUACAUCUUUUGGAACAAAUCAAAGGAGAUUAUCAUCACAGAUGUAGACCUCCCCUCAAUCAAUCCAAAUGAAAUUUUGACAAUUGUUGCUCACUUCUGAACUCGCUAGAAUGAUCAGAUGAGCAUUGCCACUUACAGUACUACAAUAAACUAUCUUAAGGACUAUGUUGCUAAGUUCAGUCGAUGUUACCUUGAGCUUGCACGCUUGUUCGGCACAGAGAACUUUUUGGCCAAAAUUGACUACAAGCUGCCUGAAGUAGAAAUUCUAGUAGAAGGGCUAAUUGAUGAACCAGUGUUGGGUUACGUCUACUUACAAAGGAAGACCAACCAAAAGGAUUUCUCCCAAGUCCUAGACAAUCAUCUCGUUUCCUCCAGGAUUCUUCAAAAGUUUAUCUCAAAUGUAGCCAAUUCUGAUGCUCUUGAGCAUGUAAAGAAAAAAUUCAUCAGUCAACUUCAAUGGUAUCUUGAAGUCCGGAACUGGCUAUACAGAGCUGAUGUGUUUAUCAAAGAAGAAGCCAUCUAAAUUGACAUGAUUGCUAAUUUCACUUAGUGGUAUUGUUGAAUCAUGAAAAGUGAACCUCUAGUAAUCACUNUAAGAUUGUAACUUGAGUGACAUGUCUUAAAGAAGGUUUAAAACACUUGUCAAAUGUAAGAGUAAAAGUUUUCUACUCGUGUACAUUUGAAAUUGGUAAGUUGUGAUGUUUUGGAUAAAACAAAGACCAACUAAGGCUAAUUGUGUUAAGUGUCUCUCUUGAUUAGAAUCCACACCAUCUCUUGAAUAUUUGGCAAGAAAGUUGUAUAGGUCAAGAAGACCGUGGGAGUCUAAAAGAUCCUGAAAAAGGUUUCAAGAACU